Molecule: ribosomal RNA, 465 nt
Filed under: uncultured bacterium
Lineage: Bacteria
Description: partial 16S ribosomal RNA
Rfam family: Bacterial small subunit ribosomal RNA
Source: RNAcentral
ACGAACGCUGGCGGCGUGCUUCACACAUGCAAGUCGAACGGAAAGGCCCUGCUUUUGUGGGGUGCUCGAGUGGCGAACGGGUGAGUAACACGUGAGUAACCUGCCCUUGACUUUGGGAUAACUUCAGGAAACUGGGGCUAAUACCGGAUAGGAGCUCCUGCUGCAUGGUGGGGGUUGGAAAGUUUCGGCGGUUGGGGAUGGACUCGCGGCUUAUCAGCUUGUUGGUGGGGUAGUGGCUUACCAAGGCUUUGACGGGUAGCCGGCCUGAGAGGGUGACCGGCCACAUUGGGACUGAGAUACGGCCCAGACUCCUACGGGAGGCAGCAGUGGGGAAUAUUGCACAAUGGGCGGAGGCCUGAUGCAGCAACGCCGCGUGCGGGAUGACGGCCUUCGGGUUGUAAACCGCUUUCGCCUGUGACGAAGCGUGAGUGACGGUAAUGGGUAAAGAAGCACCGGCUAACUACG